Molecule: ribosomal RNA, 253 nt
Filed under: uncultured bacterium
Lineage: Bacteria
Description: partial 16S ribosomal RNA
Rfam family: Bacterial small subunit ribosomal RNA
Source: RNAcentral
UACAGAGGUCCCAAGCGUUGUUCGGAUUCAUUGGGCGUAAAGGGCUCGUAGGUGGCCAACUAAGUCAUACGUGAAAUCCCUCGGCUUAACCGGGGAACUGCGUCUGAUACUGGAUGGCUUGAGGUUGGGAGAGGGAUGCGGAAUUCCAGGUGUAGCGGUGAAAUGCGUAGAUAUCUGGAGGAACACCGGUGGCGAAGGCGGGUCUCUGGGCCGAUACUGACGCUGAGGAGCGAAAGCGUGGGGAGCGAACAGG